AAUGAGCCUGCGAGUUGUGGUGUCUGGCAAGGUUAAGCAAACGCGAAGCCGUAGCGAAAGCGAGUCUGAAUAGGGCGCUUAGUCAGAUGCUGCAGACCCGAAACGAAGUGAUCUAUCCAUGAGCAAGUUGAAGCUAGUGUAAGAACUAGUGGAGGACUGAACCCAUAGGCGUUGAAAAGCCCCGGGAUGACUUGUGGAUAGGGGUGAAAGGCCAAUCAAACUUCGUGAUAGCUGGUUCUCUCCGAAAUAUAUUUAGGUAUAGCGUUGUGUCGUAAUAUAAGGGGGUAGAGCACUGAAUGGGCUAGGGCAUACACCAAUGUACCAAACCCUAUCAAACUCCGAAUACCUUAUAUGUAAUCACAGCAGUCAGGCGGCGAGUGAUAAAAUCCGUCGUCAAGAGGGAAACAACCCAGACUACCAGCUAAGGUCCCUAAAUCUUACUUAAGUGGAAAACGAUGUGAAGUUACUUAAACAACCAGGAGGUUGGCUUAGAAGCAGCCAUCCUUUAAAGAAAGCGUAAUAGCUCACUGGUCUAGUGAUUUUGCGCGGAAAAUAUAACGGGGCUAAAGUAAGUACCGAAGCUGUAGACUUGCGCACAACUUAGAUUAUUUAAGUUUAGAAUAUGAGAAACUAAGUUAUAUUUUUACUGAUUUUUAUAGAGUAAAGAUAGAAAUAAAACUUAGUAAAAUCAGUAAAAAUAUUCUUAGGCUAAAGUUAAGUAGUUUAAGUUGUGUGCAAGUGGUAGGAGAGCGUUCUAUUUGCGUCGAAGGUAUACCGGUAAGGAGUGCUGGAGCGAAUAGAAGUGAGCAUGCAGGCAUGAGUAGCGAUAAUUAAUGUGAGAAUCAUUAACGCCGUAAACCCAAGGUUUCCUACGCGAUGCUCGUCAUCGUAGGGUUAGUCGGGUCCUAAGUCGAGUCCGAAAGGGGUAGACGAUGGCAAAUUGGUUAAUAUUCCAAUACCAACAUUAGCGUGCGAUGGAAGGACGCUUAGGGCUAAGGGGGCUAGCGGAUGGAAGUGCUAGUCUAAGGUCGUAGGAGGUUAUACAGGCAAAUCCGUAUAACAAUACUCCGAGAACUGAAAGGCUUUUUGAAGUCUUCGGAUGGAUAGAAGAACCCCUGAUGCCGUCGAGCCAAGAAAAGUUUCUAAGUUUAGCUAAUGUUGCCCGUACCGUAAACCGACACAGGUGGGUGGGAUGAGUAUUCUAAGGCGCGUGGAAGAACUCUCUUUAAGGAACUCUGCAAAAUAGCACCGUAUCUUC
Molecule: ribosomal RNA, 1258 nt
Filed under: Campylobacter jejuni
Lineage: Bacteria; Pseudomonadati; Campylobacterota; Epsilonproteobacteria; Campylobacterales; Campylobacteraceae
Description: partial 23S ribosomal RNA
Rfam family: Bacterial large subunit ribosomal RNA
Source: RNAcentral